ACGGAGGGUGCGAGCGUUGUUCGGAAUCACUGGGCGUAAAGGGCGUGUAGGCGGUCUGUUAAGUCUGAUGUGAAAGCCCGGGGCUCACCCCCGGAAGUGCAUUGGAUACUGGCGGACUCGAGUCCCGGAGAGGAGGGUGGAAUUCCUGGUGUAGCGGUGAAAUGCGUAGAGAUCGGGAGGAACACCAGUGGCGAAGGCGGCCUUCUGGACCAGUACUGACGCUCAUGCACGAAAGCGUGGGGAGCAAACAGGA
RNAcentral lists this ribosomal RNA (253 nucleotides) under uncultured prokaryote. Its description in RNAcentral is "partial 16S ribosomal RNA". It matches the Rfam family "Bacterial small subunit ribosomal RNA", at positions 525 to 777 of the family's 1533-position model. The record is from RNAcentral.